Bos taurus (domestic cattle) is the source of this 953-nucleotide long non-coding RNA. The record is from Ensembl. NCBI's taxonomy places the organism in Eukaryota, Metazoa, Chordata, Mammalia, Artiodactyla, Bovidae.
GGGGGGAAGGGGCGGAGCCUCCCGGCCAGGGGGUGCUGGCGGCUGACAGAAAGAGCCGGGGCAGCGGGCGGGGGUGGCGACGCUGCGGGCCGGGCAGGGGGCCAGGCGUGGCGGGAGGAGCGCGCGCAGACACGGGACGCUGACAGGCGGGGAGACACACACACACGGGGGCUGACAGCCGCGGGGGCAUACGGGGUCGGAGGGCCGAGGCUGGCGCUCACCUGGCAGCGGUGGCGGCGGCGGCGCCCGCGGCCGGGCCGCUCUCCGCGCGCUCCAGGCCUCCCUCCCGGCUGGCGAGCGACCGGCUGGCCGGCCGGCGCAGACCGCGCGGAGGCGGAGGCGGCGGCGACGCCGGAGCCGCGGACGGCUGGGCGGCGGGGACGCAGCUGCACCAACCGACUCCGGGCCGCUCGGCUCGGCCCGGCCGCACUCGGAGGCGCUCGGCUCCGCUCGGCCCCUCUCGGCUCGGCUGGGGGCGUGGCCCGAGGCCCCCCGCCCAGGUCGCCUCUGGCGCCUGGAGGGGCGGGGCUUUCGUGCGGGCGCAAGCCCCCUGACGUCGCAGAGAGGACCUUACCCUGGGCGCAUGCGCGGGCGUCGCUCCCGCUUUUCUCGGCGCGGAGGCUGAGCCCGGCAGGGAAGGAGGGGGGACCGGGGGCGGAUGCUCCAUCACCGGAGGACGACUUCUGAUGACUGCUUUCCGUUAAAUCUUCAAUUGAGAACUUUCAAGCACAUCAGUUAGCCCCCUCAGCCACAGCCAUAGACCACGCUUGAGGAGGUGACAGCUCCAUCAGUCCGGGUCCUGGAGUGAGAAAACACAGCAUAAUGACCCAAGCAGACAUACAGUAUAAGCAAGAAACAAACCUUUGCUGUUUGAAAAGCAAGGCCAGGGCUUGUGUGUUACCAAAGCAAAACCUAGCCUAUCCUGACAGAUGCACCUUCCUAACAUCCAGUAU